This 292-nucleotide ribosomal RNA is filed under the name uncultured bacterium. RNAcentral describes it as "partial 16S ribosomal RNA". It matches the Rfam family "Bacterial small subunit ribosomal RNA", at positions 505 to 796 of the family's 1533-position model. The record is from RNAcentral.
GUGUCAGCAGCCGCGGUAAUACGGAGGGUGCAAGCGUUAUCCGGAUUUACUGGGUUUAAAGGGUGCGUAGGUGGAUUGGGUAGUCAGUGGUGAAAUACUUUCGCUUAACGAAGGAACUGCCAUUGAUACUCUCAAUCUUGAAUACAGUGGAGGCAGGCGGAAUGUGUCAUGUAGCGGUGAAAUGCUUAGAUAUGACACAGAACACCUAUUGCGAAGGCAGCUUGCUACACUGUGAUUGACACUGAGGCACGAAAGCGUGGGGAUCAAACAGGAUUAGAUACCCUGGUAGUCC